RNAcentral lists this ribosomal RNA (429 nucleotides) under Gemmatimonadota bacterium. RNAcentral's name for it is "Gemmatimonadetes bacterium partial 16S ribosomal RNA". It matches the Rfam family "Bacterial small subunit ribosomal RNA", at positions 355 to 776 of the family's 1533-position model. Lineage: Bacteria; Pseudomonadati; Gemmatimonadota. The record is from RNAcentral.
UAGGGAAUCUUCGGCAAUGGACGAAAGUCUGACCGAGCAACGCCGCGUGAGUGAAGAAGGUUUUCGGAUCGUAAAACUCUGUUGUUAGAGAAGAACAAGGACGUUAGUAACUGAACGUCCCCUGACGGUAUCUAACCAGAAAGCCACGGCUAACUACGUGCCAGCAGCCGCGGUAAUACGUAGGUGGCAAGCGUUGUCCGGAUCUAUUGGGCGUAAAGCGAGCGCAGGCGGUUUCUUAAGUCUGAUGUGAAAGCCCCCGGCUCAACCGGGGAGGGUCAUUGGAAGCUGGGAGACUUGAGUGCAGAAGAGGAGAGUGGAAUUCCAUGUGUAGCGGUGAAAUGCGUAGAUAUAUGGAGGAACACCAGUGGCGAAGGCGGCUCUCUGGUCUGUAACUGACGCUGAGGCUCGAAAGCGUGGGGAGCAAACAGG